UGUGGCUGUCUCCCCACCUUCUCGGUGGGAGUGUCUCUGCAGGUUUAGUCCAAGUUGUGGCUACAAACUAUCACCUGAGGGACAGAAACCCUGUAGCCGAGCAGACAGCUUUUCAACUCCCCACUUGGGCUUUCUGGUGGAAAACUCACUGGUGAUUUGGAGGGCUUUCCAUCGAGAAGAUCUAUAUAUGAGGAAAUGCUCUGGACUGCAGUCACUUGGGAAGACAGGGAAAAGUCCAAAGAAAAAGAGGAAUCAUCUCUCACAGGACGACUCUCAACGCGGUUUGCACAUCACCUUCGGUUUUACCUCCUCGUGAUGGUUCCCUGUCCAAUGUCGAAUUCUGAAGUUUUUAUGGUUGACAUUGGGUAAUUUGUAUAUUUUCUUGAAACUGAACUUUCCCUAUAUUCCAGAACAUGCGCCUUCCACAUUUCCCACAUGGUUUUUGAAACAGAAAAAAAAAAGUCACGCACGGUAAACGUUUUGCACAAAUCUCUGCCCACCUUUUAGAUAAUUUGCCUCACGCGGAUUCCUACCAGCUGACACAUAUUUCCACAUGCCUUUAACCAGGAACAUAGGUCAGCGCCUGCAUCACUGCAUCCUGAGAGCACUGGUAAAUUUUUAAGCGUUGCUGAAUGGAAAGGUAAACAAUAUUCUGUCCUUGUUCUAAGAUAACAAUUUUCUGUGUAAGAUUCAAUAUCUUUUCAUAUAAUUAGUACUUUUGUUAUUUAUUUGUAUAUCCUCGUGUAAAACGGAUUGGCGAGAAUUCACAUAAAGAGAUCUCAUCAAGUUUAAAACGAGUGCUUGAGAGAGUAAGGAGAAGUGAGAAUUAAAAGAGAAAAUGGAGCUAGAGAGGAUUGAAAUUAGUUCACUAAGUCCAUGUCUCCUUUCCUUUUUCCACUUCCCUGCCCUCCCCUCCCCCAUUUUUUGCCAUUGCCCCCCACCCAAAAAAAACCUUCACAAACCACAAUGAGCACAAAAACAGCUCUCAAAGGACACAGCUGAGUGACAGCUGCAGGCAUGAGAUUGAACCAAAGAACGAGGCAAGAGGUACCCAGGAGUGCAGUGAACUCCCACGCUCUCCAAACACUAGUCUGGAGCAGUUACUGUAUGGUGCCUUGGCUGGGAUAGGUGUGAAGUGUCACCAGACCCUACUGAGGUUUCAGACUAGGGUUGAGCCCACAGAGUAUCCCUCCC
This is a long non-coding RNA of Artibeus jamaicensis (Jamaican fruit-eating bat), 1194 nucleotides long. RefSeq lists it as uncharacterized. The transcript is spliced from 3 exons. Lineage: Eukaryota; Metazoa; Chordata; Mammalia; Chiroptera; Phyllostomidae. The record is from RefSeq and is a predicted model, not a curated record.